GUCAGCCCAAAUAUUGCGCCAUUCGCUUGGUCCUGGCGGAUUAAAUCGUAAAAGACGGCUGGCUGGCACGGAAAGGUGCUGUACACCAGGAAGAAAUCGACCCGUCCAGGGUCGCAUCCAUCGUACAGCGUGACACCAGACCUCCAUCUACUUCGCCAUGGCCAGCAACUCCGACGAUGUCAGUGUCCUAUAGGACAAGAUUGAUGGUAGACGACCCUACGCUCGAAUGGCGUUAAACGAUCCGAGGCGAUCACACAACUUUAAAGCCGCACACAAAUCAAGAGGAUUGCGCUUCGUCGCGGAGCUUCAUAUGAACGACGAAAUGAAGCCAGAACGACGAAAUGAAGAACGAAAGUCUUAUCUGCUAGUAGAGAGUCCCCCAAGAGUACUCCAGUCAUAAUAAAAAUCAAACA
Molecule: long non-coding RNA, 413 nt
Organism: Anopheles stephensi (Asian malaria mosquito)
Lineage: Eukaryota; Metazoa; Arthropoda; Insecta; Diptera; Culicidae
Exons: 2
Source: RefSeq, a predicted model, not a curated record